Saccostrea cuccullata (small rock oyster) is the source of this 368-nucleotide long non-coding RNA. RefSeq lists it as uncharacterized. The record is from RefSeq and is a predicted model, not a curated record. NCBI's taxonomy places the organism in Eukaryota, Metazoa, Mollusca, Bivalvia, Ostreida, Ostreidae. The transcript has 3 exons.
AAAAAGAGCACCAAAGACCCAGAUUUUGACAUCAUUUCCUGGUUGAACAAGAUGAAGCAGAGUAAUAAAUGGGUAGGCUUUACCUGAUUGGCUGAAUUGAGCUUCCUGGACCCGGGAGAGCUUGGUAUCUGAUCGGCGGGGGGCAUUUUCUCUAUAUAAGAAGAAGAUGGAGACUCGCUACCCACCCGAUAUAUUUUGUCGGACAGAUUUCUGUACAUUGCAGUGACAACUGUAUCCAGAUUUCAUCACAGGAAUGAAAGUUUUUCACUCUUUGGAAAAGCACCUGCAGCAGGGAGGGGACAUUCAUUAAGAUGGCCACAGAUUCUAAGACACUGAAGUGACAGGCCUCAAAUUUCAUACAUGUAUAU